Long non-coding RNA from Bufo bufo (common toad), 283 nucleotides. RefSeq lists it as uncharacterized. The record is from RefSeq and is a predicted model, not a curated record. Lineage: Eukaryota; Metazoa; Chordata; Amphibia; Anura; Bufonidae. The transcript is spliced from 3 exons.
CACAAAGUGUGAACACACGCCUGGACUGGGACUCUUUAUGCAGGACCUGCAGCAUUGUGUGAUCUAAACACCAGGACUUUCAACUGAGCAGCCAAAGUAGACUGGAGGAGACUUCAAUGACUUCUAUGGGAGAGUUUUAGGCAUGCUCCGUGACCUGUGCAGAGAUUCUGAGCGGUGUUGAGGAUUUCAGGUCUGAGGAGGAGACGUUCUAGUGUCUACCUGCAGCGAGGCACCCAACACAAAACACUAAAGAUUUUCUCACUUCUGUUAUUCACAGAACUAA